UUAGGUUCAGGAUAACCUUGGGAAACUGAGGGUAAUACUGAAUAGAGGAACUGUUCUGGAAAUGAUUUUUCCUUUAAAAGCAAUGCCUAAAGAUAGGGCAGCGGCGGAUUAGGUUGUUGGUGGGGUAAUGGCCCACCAAGCUUAUGAUCCGUACGGGCCGUGAGAGCGGUAGCCCGGAGAGGGACACUGAGAAACUGGUCCCAGCCCUACGGGGUGCAGCAGGCCGAAACCUUUACAAUGCACGAAAGUGUGAUAAGGGAACCCCAAGUGCUAAAGUAUAACUUUGGCUUUUGCCAAGUGUAAAUAGCUUGGAGAAUAAGUGGUGGGUAAGACUGGUGCCAGCAGCCGCGGUAACACCAGCGCCACGAGUGGGAACCAUGUUUAUUUGGCCUAAAGCGUCCGUAGCUGGUCUAGAAAGUCUUUUGUGAAAUCAUCGGGCUUAACUCGAUGACGUGCAGGGGAAACUACUAGACUCGAGACCGGGAGGAGUCAGAGGUAUUCGAAGGGGAGCGGUAAAAUGCUAUAAUCCUUCGAGGACCACCUGUGGCGAAGGCGUCUGACUAGAACGGAUCUGACAGUGAGGGACGAAAGCUAGGGGAGCGAUCCGGAUUAGAUACCCGAGUAGUCCUAGCCGUAAACGCUGCGAGCAAGGCGUUGCAUAUUCUACGUGAAUAUGCAGUGUCGAAACGAAGGUGUUAAGCUCGCCGCCUGGGAAGUAUGGUCGCAAGACUGAAACUUAAAGGAAUUGGCGGGGGAGCACUACAAGGGGUGCGGCGUGCGGUUUAAUCUAACUCAACGCAGAGAACCUCACCAGAGGCGACGGCAGAAUGAAAGUCAGUCUGAAGGGCUUACUUGACGAGCCGAGAGGUAGUGCAUGGCCGCCGUCAGCUCGUGCUGUAAGGUGUCCUGUUAAGUCAGGCAACGAGCGAGACCUGUACCUAUAAUUGCUAACAACUAGCUUGCUAGGAUUGAGCACUUUAUAGGAACUGCCCUGGAAACAGGGAGGAAGGUGCAGGCUACGGUAGGUCUGUAUGCUCCGAAUCCUCUGGGCGACACGCGCGCAACAAUGGUAAGGACAAUGGGAUGCAACUCCGAAAGGAGAAGCUAAACCUCUAAACCUUAUCCUAGUCUAGAUCGAGGGUUGCAACUCACCCUCGUGACAAUGGAAUCCCUAGUAAUCGGGUGUCAACAUCGCCCGGUGAAUAUGUCCCUGCUCCUUGCACACACCGCCCGUCAAACCACUCGAGCAGGGUCUAGGUGAGCGCUAGCCUUUUUAGUUGGUGCGAAUCUGGGCUCAGUGAGAUGGGUUAAGUCGUCACAAGGUA
This 1325-nucleotide ribosomal RNA is filed under the name metagenome. RNAcentral's name for it is "bacterial SSU rRNA". It matches the Rfam family "Archaeal small subunit ribosomal RNA". The record is from RNAcentral.